UACGGAAGGCAGCAGUGGGGAAUAUUGCACAAUGGGCGCAAGCCUGAUGCAGCCAUGCCGCGUGUAUGAAGAAGGGCCUUCGGGUUGUAAAGUACUUUCAGUCGUGAGGAAGGUGUUAAGGUUAAUAACCUUAGCAAUUGACGUUAGCGACAGAAGAAGCACCGGCUAACUCCGUGCCAGCAGCCGCGGUAAUACGGAGGGUGCGAGCGUUAAUCGGAAUUACUGGGCUAAAGGGCACGCAGGCGGUUAAUUAAGUUGGAUGUGAAAUCCCCGGGCUUAACCUGGGAAUGGCAUUCAAGACUGGUUAGCUAGAGUCUUGUAGAGGGGGUAGAAUUCCAUGUGUAGCGGUGAAAUGCGUAGAGAUGUGGAGGAAUACCGGUGGCGAAGGCGGCCCCUGGGACAAAGACUGACGCUCAUGUGCGAAAGCGUGGGGAGCAAACAGGAUUAGAUACC
RNAcentral lists this ribosomal RNA (453 nucleotides) under uncultured bacterium. Its description in RNAcentral is "bacterial SSU rRNA". It matches the Rfam family "Bacterial small subunit ribosomal RNA", at positions 340 to 786 of the family's 1533-position model. The record is from RNAcentral.